This 419-nucleotide ribosomal RNA is filed under the name uncultured bacterium. RNAcentral describes it as "bacterial SSU rRNA". It matches the Rfam family "Bacterial small subunit ribosomal RNA", at positions 954 to 1375 of the family's 1533-position model. The record is from RNAcentral.
GCAUAACGCGAAGAACCUUACCAGGCCUUGACAUGCAGAGAACUUUCUAGAGAUAGAGGUUCCCUUCGGGGCAGAGGUGACAGGUGGUGCAUGGUUGUCGUCAGCUCGUGUCGUGAGAUGUUGGGUUAAGUCCCGCAACGAGCGCAACCCUUGUCCCUAGUUGCCAGCAUUGAGUUGGGCACUCUAAGGAGACUGCCGUCGACAAGACGGAGGAAGGUGGGGAUGACGUCAAAUCAUCAUGCCCCUUAUGUCCUGGGCUACACACGUGCUACAAUGGAUGGUACAACGGGCUGCGAACUCGCGAGAGUAAGCCAAUCCCAAAAAACCAUUCUCAGUUCGGAUUGUAGGCUGCAACUCGCCUACAUGAAGUCGGAAUCGCUAGUAAUCGCGGAUCAGCAUGCCGCGGUGAAUACGUUCCC